UUUUUUUUUUUUUUUUUUUUUUUCUUGUUGAAAGAGUUAUUACAACUACAACUAUAACUAUAACUACAACUAUAACUACAACGAUAAGAACUAUCACUACUCUGAAGACAACGAUGUGUUUUCUCAAGAUGAUAACGGAUCUAGCUUCGCCAUCAAUAAGUAUGAGACAAAGGAGUCCAUCUUUGAUGAAACAUCCAUUUUCCUGUUGUACAUUUUUGCAGGACAACUAGCCUGAGCACAAGAGACAUGGNGUACUAGACCUUGUGCGGAAUGUCUACUUCAAAACUUGCAUCUUUAUAUCUGAUAUAUAGAGAUAUAGAGAUAUAGAGAUAUAGAGAUAUAGAGAGAGGCUGAUGAUUUAUAAACACAAACGAUAAGACUUGUAACAUGAAGUUUAUCGAAAAAGUCAAUCUUUAAAUUCCUUUCUGAACCUCUCUGUUAUGUCAGUGCUUCGGUACCAUGCUUUUAGUGCGGUCAUUUAAAGGCAUAGCGAUGAUAGUUCUAAAGUUACUGUAUUGAUCAAUUGGNAAGAACAUCCAAAUAAAAAAAAGCAUGCAAAAUGCUAGUAUUAUCAGUAACUGCNAAUAAAAAAAGAUAACAAAAAUUUACNGGAUCAUCGAGAAGAGUAGAUACUGAUAAUAUUGAGAUCCACAGCACUCAACAACAGUCUUGGGAUUUAUUUAGCCAUUUGCUUAACUUACUGGCCAACAAAAUUGUUGNUUGGCAUCGCCAUAAAAUUUGACCUANAAGUAAAAUNCGNGUUGGCGAAACAAUUCCAACCGGGUNCCNUUUU
RNAcentral lists this small RNA (793 nucleotides) under Schizosaccharomyces pombe (fission yeast). RNAcentral describes it as "small heterochromatic RNA precursor". The record is from RNAcentral. Lineage: Eukaryota; Fungi; Ascomycota; Schizosaccharomycetes; Schizosaccharomycetales; Schizosaccharomycetaceae.